AAUAGAUACCCGGGUAGUCCACGCCCUAAACGUUGCGAACUAGGUGUUGGCGAGAUUGACCUCGUCAGUGCCGCAGCUAACGCAUUAAGUUCGCCGCCUGGGAAGUACGGUCGCAAGAUUAAAACUCAAAGGAAUAGGCGGGGGCCCGCACAAGCAGCGGAGCGUGUGGUUUAAUUCGAGGCUACGCGAAGAACCUUACCAAGGCUUGACAUGAACCGGAAAGACCUGGAAACAGGUCCCCCACUUGUGGUCGGUUUACAGGUGGUGCAUGGUUGUCGUCAGCUCGUGUCGUGAGAUGUUGGGUUAAGUCCCGCAACGAGCGCAACCCUCGUUCUAUGUUGCCAGCACGUGAUGGUGGGGACUCAUAGGAGACUGCCGGGGUCAACUCGGAGGAAGGUGGGGAUGACGUCAAAUCAUCAUGCCCUUUAUGUCCUGGGCUACACACGUGCUACAAUGGUCGGUACAACGAGGAGCUACACAGCGAUGUGACGCAAAUCUCUUAAAGCCGAUCCCAGUUCGGAUUGCAGGCUGCAAC
This 535-nucleotide ribosomal RNA is filed under the name uncultured bacterium. RNAcentral describes it as "bacterial SSU rRNA". It matches the Rfam family "Bacterial small subunit ribosomal RNA", at positions 777 to 1311 of the family's 1533-position model. The record is from RNAcentral.